AGUGAACGCUGGCGGUAGGCCUAACACAUGCAAGUCGAACGGCAGCACAGUAAGAGCUUGCUCUUACGGGUGGCGAGUGGCGGACGGGUGAGGAAUACAUCGGAAUCUACUUUUUCGUGGGGGAUAACGUAGGGAAACUUACGCUAAUACCGCAUACGACCUACGGGUGAAAGCAGGGGAUCUUCGGACCUUGCGCGAUUGAAUUAGCCGAUGUCGGAUUAGAUAGUUGGCGGGGUAAAGGCCCACCAAGGCGACGAUCCGUAGCUGGUCUGAGAGGAUGAUCAGCCACACUGGAACUGAGACACGGUCCAGACUCCUACGGGAGGCAGCAGUGGGGAAUAGUGGACAAUGGGCGCAAGCCUGAUCCAGCCAUACCGCGUGGGUGAAGAAGGCCUUCGGGUUGUAAAGCCCUUUUGUUGGGAAAGAAAAGCAGCAGGUUAAUACCCCGCUGUUCUGACGGUACCCAAAGAAUAAGCACCGGCUAACUUCGUG
This 492-nucleotide ribosomal RNA is filed under the name uncultured bacterium. RNAcentral's name for it is "partial 16S ribosomal RNA". It matches the Rfam family "Bacterial small subunit ribosomal RNA", at positions 29 to 507 of the family's 1533-position model. The record is from RNAcentral.